CUUCGGGGUACUCGAGCGGCGAACGGGUGAGUAACACGUGAGCAACCUGCCCCAGGCUUUGGGAUAACCCUCGGAAACGGGGGCUAAUACCGAAUAUGACUUCUGGCCGCAUGGCUGGGGGUGGAAAGUUUUUCGGCUUGGGAUGGGCUCGCGGCCUAUCAGCUUGUUGGUGGGGUAAUGGCCUACCAAGGCGACGACGGGUAGCCGGCCUGAGAGGGCGACCGGCCACACUGGGACUGAGACACGGCCCAGACUCCUACGGGAGGCAGCAGUGGGGAAUAUUGCACAAUGGGCGGAAGCCUGAUGCAGCGACGCCGCGUGAGGGAUGACGGCCUUCGGGUUGUAAACCUCUUUCAGCAGGGACGAAGCGAGAGUGACGGUACCUGCAGAAGAAGCACCGGCCAACUACGUGCCAGCAGCCGCGGUAAGACGUAGGGUGCGAGCGUUGUCCGGAUUUAUUGGGCGUAAAGAGCUCGUAGGCGGCUUGUCGCGUCGACUGUGAAAACCCGCGGCUCAACCGCGGGCCUGCAGUCGAUACGGGCAGGCUAGAGUUCGGUAGGGGAGACUGGAAUUCCUGGUGUAGCGGUGAAAUGCGCAGAUAUCAGAGGAACACCGGUGGCGAAAGCGGGUCUCUGGGCCGAUACUGACGCUGAGGAGCGAAAGCGUGGGGAGCGAACAGGAUUAGAUACCCUGGUAGUCCACGCUGUAAACGUUG
RNAcentral lists this ribosomal RNA (715 nucleotides) under Micromonospora sp. RNAcentral's name for it is "bacterial SSU rRNA". It matches the Rfam family "Bacterial small subunit ribosomal RNA", at positions 78 to 811 of the family's 1533-position model. Lineage: Bacteria; Bacillati; Actinomycetota; Actinomycetes; Micromonosporales; Micromonosporaceae. The record is from RNAcentral.